This is a non-coding RNA of Chrysemys picta bellii (western painted turtle), 2540 nucleotides long. The record is from RefSeq and is a predicted model, not a curated record. Lineage: Eukaryota; Metazoa; Chordata; Testudines; Emydidae.
GGAUUGUCUUUCUGUCGAGCAGGCAUGUCUGUAUUGCAGUAAGCUCUACAAAGGUUUUUGUGUUUACUUAGUACUAAACAAAACUGCAUUUUUAUGACUGUUAUAAAUACAUGGCGCCAAGAUUUUCAGAAGUGACUAGUGAUUUUGGGCGCCCAACUUCUGCGUCAUUGUAAAAGGGCCUGGUCAAAUCAGGCCCCUUUAAGUUGUCUCAGGUGAGGCACCCACUAAUGACUUGGGAAAGUCUUGGCUUUGAUUUAUUAUACAAGGGGAAUAAGCUAUACCAGGAAAAGGCACCUUUAUCCUGGCAUAGCUGCAUCCUCACUUCAGGUUGUAAAGUAUAACUAUUUUAGGUAAAAAAAAAACCACACCCUUAACAGGACUAGUUAUACUGGUACAAAAUUUUCAGCCUGCUCUUAACUAGGCCCCCCUUUUUCCACUUGCAGUUUUGCAUUCACAGUUAUUUGUGGACACAAUUUAGAUCUUUACAGGUUUCUGUACCUGAUCUGUGCGAACAGUCAUGUAUUGAGAUGUCUAAAUGACCUAAAAUAUGCCUUAACUUACAACUCUGUAUCUCAUUCUGCAUAUUCUGAGCCAUCCAGGCCCCCUGAAUUCCGCAAUCCUUUAACUGGAUUCUCCAGAGGGAAAAGAGGGAAGGAAUGAUCUGAUGGGUAAGGCAAUGGACUGGGGUUCAGAAGAGCUCCAUUCUAUUCCUGGCUCUGCCACGGGCCUGCUGUGUGACCGUGGGGAAAGGACUUCACAUCUCUGCUUCUCCUUCUACCGAACAGAGAUGCUGUAUAUGCACAAUGUAAAGGGUGCCCAGAGAAUGCAAGCAGGAAACAGGCAUAUGUGCUCUCCACCCUGCCUGAGACCACCUCUCCCACUGCUAGCAAGACUUCCCGAUGAAGCGAUGAUCUUUCAGGGGUAAUGACAUUCCCAGAUGAUAGGUUAGAAUAGUAAGCCGAAACCCAGCCUGUUUGGCUGCUGGCCUAUGGCUAAGGGUCUCCCCCAAUCAUAAAAUCAUAAAGUAUCAGGGUUGGAAGGGACCUCAGGAGGUCAUCUAGUCCAACCCCCUGCUCAAAGCAGGACUAAUUCCCAACUUUAUCAAGAGGAUCAUCAGAAAACCUGACCAGGGCACAAUACAACAAUACAACACCCCCAUCUGCUGUAGCAUGUCUUCCCAUAACACUGAUGAGAAUGACAUCAUAGUCUUACUCUGCCUGCCGUCAGGAUAGGGCCAGAACAUAACUAGGAACAAAAGAUUAGUGAGGUGCAUAUGUGAAGACAUGCACAGGCCAUCUUUAAGGGACUAUAUUGAGAGGGCGCCUGUCUCAUUCAGUGCACAAAGUGUGCACUCAGUGACGCAAGGCUCUGCUUCUAUGACAGCCUGACCCAAAGCUCAUUGGAGUCAAUCUGAAACACAUGGAGGUCAGUGAGCGCUGGAUCAGGACCAGUAUGUGCAUUUCAUGUAGGGCAGAGCGUUCUAGUGCUGUCUGGCAAAUAGUUCCACAGAAUGAAAUUUAUUUUGUCUAUUAUGUUUCCUUUUUGAAAAAUCUAAGAAAUUCCCUUUGAGAAAAAACUGGUAAAAGCAUGUUAAUUUUGGAAAGUGAAGCACUCAAAAAUCAGAAAAGGCCGAGGUUAAAGUUGCCUCUUUAGGCACGACUCUGCCCCCUUGUGCAGAUGCAUUAUAGUCUUUCAUUGUGUAAACUUAUGCUGUUAUUGCUAUGGGACCACUGCCUCACUCACUUUAGCUUGUAGCUGUUUUGUUGGAAUUUUAUAGUAUUUGCUGAUGAAAUCAUUAGAGGAAGAGGCAAGUGAAGGUAGCCACCCUGAGGAGGGUGAAACCACCAAUGCCUAAAGCUAGCAUGGAGUAGUCUCUCUGAGCCCCAGCGCAAUUUAGGCUGGCUCCUUUAGUUUUGCUUCCGGCCAGUCAUAAUCUGGCUCUAACUUCCCCAGUGAAUCUUGGGCCAUUCAAGUAUAUGUAUUAGGAGCCGAAUUCUGCUCUGUUAUGCUAUAGCAAAUGUCAUUGAUUUCAAUGGAGAUACUCCUCAACUUACACUGGUUUUAACCAAGAGCAGUCUUGGGCCCUAGGCAUUAGGUGUUACUGAAAAGGGAAGUUUACAAGUUUAAUGUGAAUAGAAACAUGCUUUGGAAAAUGGAUAGUGUGAAUGAUAUGGACAAGUGUGAAAUGGACACAGUUUAAACAUCAACAGCAGCCUGACUGGCUUGAGGAACCCUGGUUGCUGAGAAGCCUUAAAGUACAAUGCCACCUGUGUAGGCUUUUGCCAGGUUGCCGUGUCCUUUCCUAAUUCAAAUUGCAACUAUAAGGAUGAUAAAAUGGAAAAUAAAUAUUUGUGCAAUGGCUGGGAAAAGCCAAUUAGUUUUGCACCAGUGAGAAAUAAUGCACAGCUCCCUGUGUCUUUAACAAGCUGGCUCUCAACAUCUAGUGUAAAAUAUAUCUUCACUACCCAAAUGUACUUACAAAUUUAAGUAGCAUGAGAACAAAAUGUAUUCUGCAAGUGGUAAUAAAAGAAAUAAUGCAA